Molecule: small RNA, 787 nt
Filed under: Phlegmacium pseudoarcuatorum
Lineage: Eukaryota; Fungi; Basidiomycota; Agaricomycetes; Agaricales; Cortinariaceae
Description: eukaryotic LSU rRNA
Rfam family: 5.8S ribosomal RNA (bases 248-401)
Source: RNAcentral
GAUCAUUAUUGAAAUAAAUCUGAURAGUUGMUGCUGGUUCUCUAGGGAGCAUGUGCACGCUUGUCAUCUUUAUAUUUCCACCUGUGCACCUUUUGUAGACCUGGAUAUCUCUCUGAAUGCUAGCCACUCAGGUUWAGGGAUUGACUUUUCCCGUCUCUCCUUACACUUCCAGGCCUAUGUUUUCUAAUAUACUCCAAAUCUACGUUAUAGAAUGUAUUCAAAGGCCUUUGUGCCUAUAAACUUAUACAACUUUCAGCAACGGAUCUCUUGGCUCUCGCAUCGAUGAAGAACGCAGCGAAAUGCGAUAAGUAAUGUGAAUUGCAGAAUUCAGUGAAUCAUCGAAUCUUUGAACGCACCUUGCGCUCCUUGGUAUUCCGAGGAGCAUGCCUGUUUGAGUGUCAUUAAUAUAUCAACCUCUUCAGCUUUUGCUUGUUGAGUUUUGGAUGUGGGGGUUUUUUUUGCUGGUCUUCUCAGAUCAGCUCCCCUAAAAUAUAUUAGCGGAACAUUUGUUGACCGUUCAUUGGUGUGAUAAAUAUCUACGCUUUUGACGUGAAGCAGUUCAGCUUCCAACAGUCCAUUCGCUUGGACAAGUUUUCAUUAAUGUGACCUCAAAUCAGGUAGGACUACCCGCUGAACUUAAGCAUAUCAAUAAGCGGAGGAAAAGAAACUAACAAGGAUUCCCCUAGUAACUGCGAGUGAAGCGGGAAAAGCUCAAAUUUAAAAUCUGUCAGUCUUUGGCUGUCCGAGUUGUAAUCUAGAGAAGUGUUAUCCGCGCUGGACCGUGUAC